RNAcentral lists this long non-coding RNA (505 nucleotides) under Malus domestica (apple). RNAcentral describes it as "long non-coding RNA (MDOM_LNC014230)". The record is from RNAcentral. Lineage: Eukaryota; Viridiplantae; Streptophyta; Magnoliopsida; Rosales; Rosaceae.
AUAUAUAGGAGUCUCCCUAACAACAAGUAGUAAUGCUAUUCCUUUACCCUGCUUGGUCAUAGCACGGUAGUGGGAGCUGCCAGUUUCACAUGUUUUAACUCUGUCAGAGCACUUUGAAAAAGUGGUCUGUGGUAUCUGGCUCUCGAGAUUCGGAGAACGAUGCCUCUUCGAUUUUUGAGAAAGCAAUCAUGAUGGGGGUAUGACUCUCGAGAUUCGGAGAGCAGUGUCUCUUCGAUUUUUGAGGAAGUAAUCAUGUUGGGAGUCUGGCUCUCGAGAUUCGGAGGACGGUGCCUCUUCGAUUUUGGAGCAAGCAAUCUUGUUGGGAGUGUUGUCUCGAAUGUGAGUAAAGGUUGGGCAUGUUUGCUAGUCUACCUUGCCACGAAGCACAAAGGUUGACACACAGGGACUUUCCAAUUAUCCAGCAAUGGUACUGUUCCUUUACCCUCUCUUCGAUUUUGAGAAAGUAGUCAUGUUGGGAGUCUGGCUCUCGAGAUUCGGAGGACGG